UUGAAGUCAGAUCAAGACUUUCCAAAAAUAGCAGGUGACCUGUAAUUUGAAAUUUCCAAAAAUGGAAAGAUUUUGGACCAACUUCAACUCAAGAUUACAUCAUCAAGAAAGCUUCAAAUGAAAUUUUGUCCUACAUGAAAGUUGAAGAUCUUUCUCUCCCAUUUCCAAAAAGUCAAAGAUCAUGAAUUUCUCAUGUGUGGUUAAG
This 205-nucleotide long non-coding RNA is filed under the name Lathyrus oleraceus (garden pea). RNAcentral's name for it is "Pisum sativum (pea) long non-coding RNA (PSAT_LNC013408)". Lineage: Eukaryota; Viridiplantae; Streptophyta; Magnoliopsida; Fabales; Fabaceae. The record is from RNAcentral.